Molecule: ribosomal RNA, 465 nt
Filed under: uncultured bacterium
Lineage: Bacteria
Description: partial 16S ribosomal RNA
Rfam family: Bacterial small subunit ribosomal RNA
Source: RNAcentral
CCUACGGGAGGCAGCAGUGGGGAAUUUUGCGCAAUGCUCGUAAGAGUGACGCAGCGACGCCGCGUGAAUGACGAAGGCCUUCGGGUCGUAAAGCUCUUUCGACAGGGAAGAAAAUGCCUAUAAGUAACUGUGUAUGUAUUGACGGUACCUGUAUAAGCAGCCCCGGCUAACUCCGUGCCAGCAGCCGCGGUAAUACGGAGGGGGCGAGCGUUGUUCGGCGUGACUGGGCGUAAAGAGCACGUAGGCGGUGUUGUAAGUCAUUAGUCAAAGACUAGAGCUCAACUUUAGUAAGGCUAGUGAUACUAUAAUACUAGAGUAUCUGAGAGGAUUGCAGAAUUCCUGGUGUAGCGGUGAAAUGCGUAGAUAUCAGGAGGAAUACCGUUAGCGAAGGCGGCAAUCUGGCUGGAAACUGACGCUGAGGUGCGAAAGCGUGGGUAGCAAACAGGAUUAGAUACCCCAGUAGUC